Molecule: ribosomal RNA, 460 nt
Filed under: uncultured bacterium
Lineage: Bacteria
Description: partial 16S ribosomal RNA
Rfam family: Bacterial small subunit ribosomal RNA
Source: RNAcentral
CCUACGGGUGGCAGCAGAGAGGAAUAUUGGUCAAUGGACGAGAGUCUGAACCAGCCAAGUAGCGUGAAGGAUGACUGCCCUAUGGGUUGUAAACUUCUUUUAUAUGGGAAUAAAAUGUUCCACGUGUGGGAUUUUGUAUGUACCAUAUGAAUAAGGAUCGGCUAACUCCGUGCCAGCAGCCGCGGUAAUACGGAGGAUCCGAGCGUUAUCCGGAUUUAUUGGGUUUAAAGGGAGCGUAGGUGGAUUGUUAAGUCAGUUGUGAAAGUUUGCGGCUCAACCGUAAAAUUGCAGUUGAAACUGGCAGUCUUGAGUACAGUAGAGGUGGGCGGAAUUCGUGGUGUAGCGGUGAAAUGCUUAGAUAUCACGAAGAACUCCGAUUGCGAAGGCAGUUCACUGGACUGCAACUGACACUGAGGCUCGAAAGUGUGGGUAUCAAACAGGAUUAGAUACCCUAGUAGUC